GCAUUUAAUGGAAUAUAUUUGUUAAAUUGUUUGUUUUUAGCGAAUAUAGAAAUAUCGUUAUGCUUGAAUGACUUGUGCAAUUCAGGCAAAUGUC
Molecule: transfer RNA, 94 nt
Filed under: Mesomycoplasma hyopneumoniae
Lineage: Bacteria; Bacillati; Mycoplasmatota; Mycoplasmoidales; Metamycoplasmataceae
Also listed under: 1 other name
Description: Mycoplasma hyopneumoniae tRNA-Ala
Source: RNAcentral